Long non-coding RNA from Poecilia latipinna (sailfin molly), 556 nucleotides. RefSeq lists it as uncharacterized. The record is from RefSeq and is a predicted model, not a curated record. Lineage: Eukaryota; Metazoa; Chordata; Actinopteri; Cyprinodontiformes; Poeciliidae. The transcript has 3 exons.
GGUUCACGUCAGUCUAGAAGCAUGAGUCAUCUGAAUUAAAGAUGGACUCUGGACUCACCAUCGCUCACCGGCUCUAGAUGGCUUUGCCACAUGCGGAGAUUCUCUAAAUGCUUCUCUUGCUAACAAGCAGUUUGUGAUCUAUCCACGAGUUUCUGAUUACCUGUGAGCUGACGCAGAACGUCUUCGGUCUACACACGGUGUGAGGCGUGGACGGCAAAGACGUUGCUCCUGUCGAGUCAUUUAUGGCACAAUCAUUAAAAGGAGCCUAAUGAAAAGAUGUGCUGAACAACACUGCUAUCAAAUGCUUCCUGCACAGCAAUCCCCGCUCCGUCCUGAGCCCUCCGGAGCCAUCGCACUGAGUAAUUGAGACGCAGUGCAGACAACCAGCAAUGCUUUAGGGCAUGUUUCUACAUAUUUUCAGCUUCUUGUUAUUUCUUUUUUUGGGGCCUUAACAACUGUCUAGGAUUGUGAAGUUAAAAGGGGCGGUGUUAUGUAAAAUCUACUUUUUUUUUUUUUAAGCUUUACAUCAUGUUAUUAUAUUAUUCCCACAUCAAAA